Sapajus apella (tufted capuchin) is the source of this 11600-nucleotide RNA transcript. It is a transcript of the gene named QKI, KH domain containing RNA binding, with no coding region annotated. The record is from RefSeq and is a predicted model, not a curated record. The transcript has 8 exons. Lineage: Eukaryota; Metazoa; Chordata; Mammalia; Primates; Cebidae.
CUGCACUCCAGCUUAGGCAACAGUGAAUCCCUGUCUUAAAAAACAAAAACAAAACAUCAAAAUGGAGUUACAUCCAUCAAGUGGCACCACAUUAUGAUCACAGUAUAAGUAAAGGGCCUGUGUGUGCAGAUACUUAAUGUCCGUAAGUGAAGACGUGCAGUGAAAGUGAGCUGGCCUUUAUGAAAUCUUUGAGAGUGAGUACUGGGGCUGGUUAAGUUCUAGCUGAGAAAGGUUUUCGAAAUGAUGAAAUAUCUGGUUGGCCUGGGGCCUGAAUAAGUAAGUAGCAGGCCUUAAGUAAGCACCUUGUUUUUUGCUUUAGUGCAGGGCGGGCCAUUGUAAAGACUGGGCAUGACCUCCUGGUUGGUAGCAAAUCAUUGGGGAGCCCUUGGCUUUUAAGCUAAUUUUAUGGUUUGAAAUAUAUAAGGGAAAAAAAAAAAACCCAAGAAGACAUUUAGUACAUUUUAAGAGUAGAAUUAGGAAAAUGCAUGAUUAAAAAAAAUCAUGCAGUUUUAAAAUUUUGAACCUUCAAUGUCAUAAUUUUAUUGGUUCUCAAAAUUAUCUUGCAGAUUAUAUCAGAGUGCUGUGUUUUAAAGCUACAGGGGACUUGAGAGUUGGGGGUAUAUUCGUAGGUGCAGAGCCUGAGAUCUGGAGCAGUUGUGUCUUGCCUAUGUCUCAAGGCAAGUUUGGCAGCAGAGCUCUGGAGCAAGACACUCACUUCUCCCCUCUGGUUCGUUUUGUGGUGUGCCUCUCCACAAGGGGAGCUGGAAGGAAAAACCUGGAAUAUUUCCGUAUUUUAAAAAGCUGCUGCGUUGCUUCAAGUUGUGAAGAAAUUAGCAGAGUACGGAAAGACAUGUACAAUGACACAUUAAAUGGCAGUACAGAGAAAAGGAGUGCAGAAUUGCCUGAUGCUGUGGGACCUAUUGUUCAGUUACAAGAGAAACUUUAUGUGCCUGUAAAAGAAUACCCAGAUUUUAAUUUUGUUGGGCGAAUUCUUGGACCUAGAGGACUUACAGCCAAACAACUUGAAGCAGAGACAGGAUGUAAAAUAAUGGUCCGAGGCAAAGGCUCAAUGAGGGAUAAAAAAAAGGAGGAGCAAAAUAGAGGCAAGCCCAACUGGGAGCAUCUAAAUGAAGAUUUACAUGUACUAAUCACUGUGGAAGAUGCUCAGAACAGAGCAGAAAUCAAAUUGAAGAGAGCAGUUGAAGAAGUGAAGAAAUUAUUGGUACCUGCAGCAGAAGGAGAAGACAGCCUGAAGAAGAUGCAGCUGAUGGAGCUUGCAAUUCUGAAUGGCACCUACAGAGAUGCCAACAUUAAAUCACCAGCCCUUGCCUUUUCUCUUGCAGCAACAGCCCAGGCUGCUCCAAGGAUUAUUACUGGGCCUGCGCCGGUUCUCCCACCAGCUGCCCUGCGUACUCCUACGCCGGCUGGCCCUACCAUAAUGCCUUUGAUCAGACAAAUACAGACCGCUGUCAUGCCAAACGGAACUCCUCACCCAACUGCUGCAAUAGUUCCUCCAGGGCCCGAAGCUGGCUUAAUCUAUACACCCUAUGAGUACCCUUACACAUUGGCACCAGCUACAUCAAUCCUUGAGUAUCCUAUUGAACCUAGUGGUGUAUUAGAGUGGAUUGAAAUGCCAGUCAUGCCUGAUAUUUCAGCCCAUUGACUUGCUGGAUGAAGGACUAGAAUACAGCAGCUGUUAUAACACGACCAGUCAAUGUGGAACAAACUGUUUCUGUGCAACCCCUUUGUUUUACCAGACAAAAUUUGAAUACCUUUUUUCCUGAAUUGUAUAUGACCUUGGUGCUGCAUGCAUGCUGUUGACUUUUAGGACUUUGAUUUUUUAAGGUUUUUUUUCCCAGCAUUAAUAUUGAUUUAUAAAAAUUUGAAAAUCUUUAAUGAACUGGAACACUAAGAUUUAAACUAGAAAAUGCAUUGUUCAAGUAAAGAAAACCAUGAUGCUCUGUAUGUUAUCUGUGUGUGUGCAUGCACUCAGGUGCCCUUUGUUUCAUGAACAAAUACAUUUCAUUGUACAUGUUUUCCGUUUAAAUCAUUGUAUAAAGUAAUUGCAGGUCAGAAUUAUACCACAGAACUGUUUAUGAGAGGAUUGUCUCUGUUGCACAUUUCUUGAAGCAUUUUUAAAAUAACAUGUAACCUGUAACCUUGUUUAAGUUUUCCUUUCUAUUAAUACUCUGUCUUGUGGUCCCGUGCAUGCUCCUUUUCCCAGAACUCCUCUCUGCUGCACCCACAGCAUCUGUUCCCGAGGAGUUAUGACUCUUGACUUCCUGCAGGGCUAGGACUCUUACCACCAGCUGCUGUUCCAGCACUUUCAAUGCAAGAUCUCCCUGAUUUUGCCACAUGGAACUGUACUUGUAUUUGAUUACCUUAUCUAAAAUGAAUAAGGGGUGAUGAACCAGUUUACUGCUUAGAAAUAGCAAGAGGCACUGCAGUAAAGUUUGUUUCUCAUUGUAAAGCUUCAUGUCUUUUGUUUGUUGGAAAAUUUUUACUUAUAAAAACUUAAUUAGUAGCCUGGCAAAAUAAAGACCAAAAUGUGCAUAUCCCUAAUUGGCAUUCAUAAGGUGAAUAAUAAUAAUAAGUGCCAAAUGAAAAAAUCUAUUAUGGUUAAUUGUAUUUCUUGCCUUGCCACCUAAGCAGUAAAACAUGAUAUUGACCACUUGGAGAACUGAGAAAAUUAUUUUAAAUUGCUAAGUUAUAAUAAAUUUGCACACAGAUAACAUGCAUGCUAUUUAUGUCACGUCUCACAUUAAAUUAUUUUAAAAUAAGCAGUGCCCUUCAAAACAGAUGCAGACAUGUGUGUUGGUAGUAGUGAGGAGAUUGGUAUUAGCAUCAAAUCUUCAUUGAUGACUAAUUUUUAAUUCCCUUCCUUUUAUCUUUAGGUAUGGCUUUCCCAACGAAAGGCUAAGAAUUCAAGAACGGUCUUAACUGAACCCUCAUCAGAUCUGAAUUUAACAAAUGCUUAGUCUCAGCAGCCUCCGGGGGAAAAAAGCUUAGCCUAGCAGUCAGUGACUUACUUGCACUUUUUGCACAUAGAUAUAAAGUAAAAUUAUGUUAUUAAUUUGGUUUAGUCUGUAAUAUUACACAGUAAUGGUAAUUUAUAAAGGAGUGUAUAGUAGUAUACUGACUGCUAAGUGUACUAUACUGUUUGCUUUACUAAUCACCUAAUUCAUUGCAGUUCAUACUUAUUGACUCAGAGUUUAAAACCACAAUCUGUAGGCUUUAAGAAUUGCUUUUAAACCUUUUUAAGUGAUAAACUCUUGAAGUGGUCUUAAGGUUAGCAAAUAAUUGUCAGUAUUAAACAUGGCAUUAUUUAAGUAGUCCUGCUGCAAGAAAGGCACUUCAGUGAAUAUGUGACUAGUAAAGCUUAAAUAUGUUUGGAUCUAAUAGAGUUCAUGAAAUACUGUAACUUGGGGAUUGUAAAUGAAUGGAUAAAAUAGGUUAAGGCCAAGAUGUUUGAAAUGAAUGCAAUAUUAAUAGAUGCAUAUAUACAUGACAUAUUAUGGUUAGUUUUAAAACUACUGUGCCUUAACGUGUUUCUUAAACUUUUGUAGUAAAUGAACAUUUGAAAUCCAUUUUGAUAAACCUGCUGUUAAUGUUUUUUUUUCCCCCUUGUGAAUGUUUUCUAACUUUGUCUUGGUAAUUGCAAUUUAACUAGGUGCGGUGGCUACUAAAGUUCGAAGGCACGAUAUGCGUGUCCAUCCUUACCAAAGGAUUGUGACCGCAGACCGAGCCGCCACCGGCAACUAACCUAUGACCUUCUGACCUCUGAACUCUUCACCCAAUGAUGACCUGACCAUGCCUGCCUGCUGAUCAGUUAACUGGUAAUCGCCUUUGCUUGCCUGUCGUCAGUGCAGCAAGCUGAGGCACUUGUCCGUUCGUCUUACCAUCUAACCAAACAAAAGACAAAGAAAUUGUUGUCCUCCAACUCAGCUUUUUUUUUUUUUUUUUUUUUUUUUUUUCCUGUUUGGGUGAAAGUGGUUCUAGAACCUGCACUGAAUAGUAGUAAAGCAAUAAGGCCCAAUUCAUCCCACAGCACUGAUCAUCUUCUAAUAUCCCACCCUAAGCGAACGGUAAGAAGGCCUCUCUUAAGAAUGGGAGACAGAUGGCCCUUAACUACUCAAUGACAGAGGCAGUUACUGUGAGAGACUUCUAGGAAUCUUUUUCUUCUCAUAGUGAAGUUAAAGCUCUCUCUGAAUGUACUGUGUGAUGAUGCAUCAUGCAUGAACCUUCGGUCAGGGAUGUCAUUGGUUGGUGAAGUGAUUUCAAAAAGUAUUCAAAAUUUGAUAUGCUGUUUAGUCACUACAGUGCCCUCAAAGGGCAGAAGUUGCAGCCUUUUUUAUAUUGCCUGCCAAAAUUUGAAGUAUUAGAGGAAAGUGUGCCAUGAGAGGAGAAACUUAAGGAGUUUUGAAAAGUAAUGCAAAUAACAAAACUGCAACACUAUUUUUAAAAAGACAAAUAUCUGAGUUAAAAUUACUGAAUCUUUAUUUUACACCUUCUAAAAAAUAUAUGAGAACAAGGUACAUGCAUUAUGUGUCACAUUACUGGGCAAACUGUUCAAGUAUUUUUUUUUAAACCUCCCUGUAUAGAAAAAAAUCAUUAAGGAUGUAAAAGCCAUGCUUGCCUAUUUGCUGUAUACAUGUAAUGAAAUUGUAGAUAAAGUGUAGUGCAUUGAAACAAAUGAACAAAAAAGUAGAUACUUUUACUAUACAAGGGUGCUGGUGCAGAAAAAAAUAUAUAUAUUUUUGGAAAUGUAGCAUUUUAUACUUUCAAGUGUUAUAAAAAAAAAAAAAGAACAAAGAAACCCUUUAUUUCAUUAAAUGAUUUUUUCUGGUGGUUGUCAAGAAACAAAAGACCAAAAGAGCCUUUUUGUCUUUCUUUUUUAUUUUUUAAGUAUUGGAAUAAGUCUAAAGAAAAGAAAGUGCCUUAUUUUUCUUCAUGGUCAUUUAGUCAAGUGUCUCAUAAAGAUCAGCUCCUCCCUCAGAAUACAAGUUAAUGCAUGUUACUCAGUCGCCCAGUAUGUGAAAGAAAAUAAGAGGGAGACAAAUGAGUUGAUGGUUUGAAUCAUAUGAUUUUUGCCACAUUACCUUGAUGCAAAUUUGCCAAAUCUGAUACUGUGAAGAGAUUUGAUAAUUUUUCUAAUGCCUGACUAGCAAGUUUUAAAACAUCAUUCUUUAAAAAAAUUAUAAUUGAAUACUUUUGGUUAUUCCAGUCUUCAAUGAUAACCCAAAGGACUCUGAGAUAAAAAUUAUGUGUAACCUGAACUUCAGACAAAAUUAGAGCUUUGUUUUAUUUGGAGAAGGGGGAUGCAUUCAUUUUGUUUUGUUUUUUAUUUUGUUUUUAAUUAAUUGGAGAUAAUAGGAUCCCUAGCAAAUGUUUUCACGAAAGUGACUCUUUGUGAUUUUCAUUCUGGAAAACAGUGUUUUAAAUAACCCAAAUGUAACCACGUCUUUAUAUCAUACCAGAUAACAUGUGUAAUGCAUCUCUUUACAGUUUCAGUAACCUCUGCCUCCCCGACCCUUUAGGUUUAAAAAAAUGUGAAAAACUAGCAUCAUAGUGCGUAUAAUACUCAACCACAUUUCAGCUUAAGCUUCUAAUUUCUCCAGAAGUUCAAACAGUUAUAUAGUUCAAGCAAUUUGUGUUCACAGCCUACAUCUAAACACUUGAGUGAAUAAUCAUUAACUGCUCAGUACCAGAUGUGGCAAAUCUCAAGUGAUGGUGGACUCCCCUCCAGCUUAUCAACUCGUCCCCUCUUCCACACCUUCCCAGCGUCGCAGUCAGAGGUCAGCAGGAAGCUUAGUCAGUACCUUCUUGGCGACCUCCCCUGCCAUCUUGUCUCACUUGGAAACCGUUGUCAGUUUAUUUACUAUGCAAUAGACAUUCAUUGUUUUGUAUCCAGCUAGUUUUGGUUUAAUAUGCCACUGCUUUGUCUUUCUGUUACACAUACAGUUUUGAUUUAUUUACAGUAUAUGCUGUGCCAUUUUGAUUUUUAUAUUGUUUGGUUGGUUGAAUCAAUUUGCGGCACUCAAACACUUGAGGUGAUAGUUAUUAAAAACAAUACCAGUAUUUGACCCAAUUUCAUCUCAACUAUGUUAUACCUGGACAUUUUAGAUGUUUAUCAAAGGUCUUUUAUGGGGAAGAAAGUAAAUGUAUGAAAUAAUAAAUGUGUGACAUUUAUGGGUAAUGUUGGCUCUGAGCAAACUUUUGAAAACUUGGUUGACAAAAUUUUGGAUCAACUGAAAAAAAAAGCAUGACUUUUGAAAUCUCUGAAUGCCUUGGUUCUCAGUAUUAUCAUUCUUUAUUGAAUUUAUUUCUUAUUAAAAUAUGUAGUUUUUAAGACUUUUUUUCUGACAGUAUUAUGUAAUUUUUUAGCGUGGGUAGAUGGGAGUGUCGCUUGUAUGUUAUCGUACAGCUGACAUGUAUUUUUGUCUAUUCUUUAUUAUCUUAGUAGUUUCAUGCUAUGUAUGUACCAUAACCAACCUAUUGCCUAUGAGAAACAUGUAAGAUAAUGUAUUUACAGCCAUUGUUACAAGUUUAUAAUGUAUUUUUCUAUCUUGUUUUAUAUGUAUGUUAUAUAACAUUCAAAAAGAAUUUUUUUCUUGAUUGAGAAAAAGAUACAAAAUGCAAAAUCCACAAUUUUGAUAACUGAAAAUUGCCAAUUGUUUUGCAGUACUUUACUAUAUUGGGUGUCUUGUCUUUUUUGGGCUUUUAGUUAGCUAAUGAAUGAAUACAUUAGACACUUUUGGGUUUUAGUUGGGAUUUUACAUAGCUUGCAUUUUAAUUCUUUGGUUCUUUGCUGUUUCUAUUAACCCAUAGCAUUAUUUUAAUAAAUGUUAUAAUACCAACCUACUAACUCUGGACUGUGUCUGUUUAUUAACCUUUAUAUGUUUAAUUAAAAUAAAUAAAGACAAAAGAAUGUAAAGUCUUGAGUUACUGGACUAACCCUGAAGAACGUGACCACAGAUAACAUAGCGUGACUUGUUUUUAUGUUGUUUGUCAGCUGACAGUUCCGCACACUACUCUUAAAAUGGCUUUGAUUAUUCUGGUCUUUUACCUGGUGGGGAGGGAAGGUAGGUGCCGUAGAGAUGGGAACAAAGUAGCCUUUGUUUGAGGCAGUCUUCUGCUCUUGCCACUUGCCUUUUAGCAUCUGCCUUACUAAUUCCACACCUUAUUUUUCCUUCUCCAAAAUAAUCACUGUCUGCUCACAGCAUCAAGAGUAAAAAGAUACAUUGUAAUGGUAUAUACCUGGAGAAACCAGUUUGAUUCUUUGUUGAACCAUUUCUUUUAAUUUCUGUAAGUAAUUUUAUGGUCACAUUGUAAAGCAGAGAAACUGUUGAUAUUUUACCUUUAUGUAGGUUUUUGUUUUAACUUGACCUUUUUCCUUUGGAAAGCAUUGAACUUCUUUGGCUAACUGCUCCUAUUAGGGGGCUCAACUUGGGUGAAGCCAAAGGCUCCCUGGCUGUCUCUCUUGGUGGCCCCGGUGGCCCAGAGCUCCACCACUUUCCAGUGAGGUAAAGAACCCUAGCAUAUUAUUGAGUUUUCCUCAGAAAACUUUAAGAGGGAAGGACUACAAGAUUUGAAAAGUUGUGUAUGAUUAAUUUCUUGCAUGCAUACCAGUUUAAGGUUUCUUAAAUAUCUUCAUGCUUUUCUUGGCUGAAACUUGGCAAAUUAACCUGUAAUUAUGAAUUCUUUAACUCAAGGUGCAUUUUUAUUUCACAGAUUGGUACUUGCUUUUUUCUGUGAAACAAUUCUCUUAGAUAAAAUUCUCAGGAUGAAUUUUUGCAUUUGUAAAUAACGAUAUAUCUUUGUAAAUUACAUUUUAUUUAUUUAGAGUUCUAAAAUGUGCGGCUUAAAUGAGUUACAUAUAAUAGAAGACAAAACUAUACCAGUAUGCUCUUAACCAGAUUGUCAAGAUACUCUCAUUUCAUCAAUAUAUAUACACACAUACAUAUAUAGAUAAUAUACAGAGUAAUGAUGGCUGAUUUGAGUGAUAACAGCUAAUCACCAUUGAGAUGGUUAUUUGGAUCAUGUAAACAAACCUGGUCAUUUCUCUGAUGGGAGCGGUGGGCAGUGUGCUGUUGUUUGAUAGACAGGUCUUUAGCAUGCUAUUUGUACAAGUUUUCCUUGCCAUAUAGUUCAUGUAGUAGUCUGUGAGAGUUCAAAGAUGGCUGUCAAGCUGCUAAUAUACAAGUUGUCAUGGUGCCAUGUCACUUAAAUUGAUGAAUUUCUAUGCAAUGUACUAUUCUCUGAAGCCUAUGAAUGCAUACUCAUCUCAUUUUCAAUUAAGGCUACUUUAUGUAUAAUUAUGUCAUUGCUACCUUUUAUGUAAGAAAUGUAAAAAAGUUUUAAAAGGUGCAGAUAACAUUUCAGUUUUUAUACAGGUUGCAAUAUUAUUAAACAUGAAACUGCCAAAUUCCUAGAAUCACAUUACGGAUUUUUUAUACAGGUUACAAUAGUAUUAAACAUGAAACUACCAAAUUCCCAGAAUAGUAAAAUUUCUAGGGUCAGUUUAUUGAUUGAAACUAUUUGAAAAAAAAAACAAUUGAAAAUUGAGCUUUCAGUCAAGAAGUUGGCGAAAUUAAUGUACUUAAACAUCUUUUUUUCUGUAGGCAAAAUGUCAGGGAAAACUGAAUGUGAAAGUAGUUAUUCACAUGCACCCCGGCACGGUAGCUCCACAUGUGAGAGAUCAUUCAAGCACCCUGCCCAUAAAACCUGCAUGUGUAUACAUAAACACAAUUGGUGUCAUUACAGUUUUCUAAACACUAGAUAAAGUUCCUAAUUUUUUAGUGUGCCAAAAGCAAAUGAUAGGUUUAAAUGAAAUUGCUCAUUACCAAAUCAAGACUCUUUGAAAUUUAUAAAUAUAUAAAAGUCAUAACACUUUAACAUGUGACAGCCUAAGGUUUUUUUAGUUUGGGGGUGGGGUGGGGGUGGUUUUGCCUGUUGGACCAGGAUGAAAUGCCUGUCUUUAUUCCUUGGUAAGACGUAGCCAUUACGGCAUUUCAAACUAUUUUUGGUAGAAGAGAACAUACUGCCAAACGAUAAUUCAUUUAGCAAAAAUUAUUCUCCAACUUUCUGAAUUCACAAAUUUUCUAAUUGCAUAGAGUAGUUUAUUACAUUGUCACGAAUUCUUUAAUGCCUUUAUUUCAAAUGGAAAAAAUAACUUUAUGGACAAUAUUUUAGAAAUACCAUGUGAUUCACAUCUAAUUUUAUAUGUAGCUGCUUUUAAGUGAUCAAAAUUGAGAUGCCUUUGAUAUGAAGAGAUUUACCUACAUUAUAUGCACUCGUGCCCUCAAUGCGGAAUCAAACUGGUUAACUUGUGCACAGGCCUCUCCUGUCUAUGUCUCUGCUGCACUAAUUGCCAGGGGAUGGGAGAGAAGGUGGAGGAAUUCAUUCACAGUAGAAGGAGGUAAUAGGUGCGGCAAAUAGCAGCACACAGUAUUGAUUCCACAUUAUAAUUUUGUUGCCCCUUCUCGGCAAAAGAUACCACAUUGUGGGAAGAUCACAGCUUCCAGGGUAAAAGUUAAUUUAUAACUUUAAAAAGUGCUAUUAAGUUUUUAUUACCAAAUAUAUCUUUUAUGGUUUAUAUUGUAGUGGUAUGUAUGAAACAUUUAAAAUUUUACUUGUGGAAAUGGCGUGUGUAUAUAUAUCUAUAGAAGUUGAAAUAGGUGUUCCCACACGUGAACGGAGAACUGCAUAUGACUGUACGUGAAGUGCAAUAAACAACUGGAAAAAGUACAUGUGCUUCAUCCUGUCCAGCCAACUGCAGCUGGAAAGUGCUGCUUAUUCUCCACCUCCAGAAAUGCAUGUAUAAAUAUAGAACAAAGAAUGCACACUUUCAAUUUUAUUGAGGUUUUCAACACUAUUUAAAAAAAAAUGUAAGCAUCUGACAUUCUGGAGUUCUAAAUUAGAAGAUGAGCAUAAUAUUCACCCUGAUUUUAGUUACUAAAGGAGAUUAGUAAACAGACUUAGUGUUCCUCAGUUGGACUGUGCAUCCAAGAUAGUUAACAUUUUUUAUUUUUAAUAAAUGGCACAACUUUUAUGUGUUUUUUAUAUGUAAGAAAGAAGAAAGGAAUGCUGACCAAAACUUGAUUCAUGAGAAGAACUAGUGUCAUUAACUUGUGGAACAAAGUAGAAUUGGUUUAUUUUAAAAAUUGUUUCCAGUAGUGUGAAACCUUUAGGAUUCUUUAACAUCUAAAUGUUUUGACUCCUUGUACCUUAAGUUUUCCAGUCUUCCUUAUUUACAUCAUCUCCAAGUACCUCUGCCUUCUUUCCUCUUGCUCACUGGAACCUUAGUUUUCCUCAGCAGGAUGGUUUGUAAAAGUAGCCCACAGGUGUAGGAUCUGUGGCAUGUCAUACAGACUGGUGGCCCAAAGGUGUGCUUGGUUUGGCUUAUGCAGUGUUUUGCUUUUUAAACUACUUGCCAUCAUUUGAAGGUGGAAACACUAAUAAAAAAGUCUGAUUGCCCAUAUUAGAUUUUUUUUUUUUAAAUCUCUUCACAAAAUGUGCUCCUCCUCAAAAAUCAAAAUGUCUAGAAAGCCCAAACAUGUAUUGUCACAUAGUAGGCACCAGCUGAAACUUGAGUAAUCAAACUACCCCCUUAAGCCAAGUAUUCCCUGGUUAAUCGCCACCCCACCACUCCUUCCUGUCUCUCGUGUCACACUUGGGCUGUUGGUUUUCUUACUCCUGUCUUGCUUUAAUCCUUCCUCCCCACCCUCUGCCCAGCUCCUGUGGAUAUCUGCUUGUCUCCUGGUCCAGGAUGGUGAUCUUUCAAACCAACUUCUCAAAAGGGAUGGCAUAAAAUAGAUUUCGAUGUUUUUCCUUCUGCAAAAUCAGAUGAAUGUUCUAUCAAAAUUAUUAGUCACUUAUUCAUGCAUAUUGGAUUUCUUACUGUUUAAAGAAGGACUUCUAUUAAGUGAGUGGAAGGAUUAGACAUUUGGAUUUUCCUCCUAAUGUAAUUUUUUAUGAUUACCUCAUACAAUAAUUUGCGGUGGUCUUAGCAGUUAAACUAAUUGACCAUCUAAUAGUUGACUAUAAAUAUAUCUAAAAUAAUAGUCAUAAGUUUGGCAUCACAACUUUCCCCAAAAAAACUUUAUUAAAAUUAGAUUAUUCCCGUGUAAUGCUAUUUUGUGAAGUAUAUAUGUACAUAAUGUAUACUCUCUGAAAGUGCUUGUUUUUAUAUGCUAUACAACAGUUCCAAUUUUAAAGACUGUCUCUUGGGAUGAAAAUCUAUAGCCUUUGUUUUCUUAAAGUAUCCUAUUCUAUAUACAUUGAUAACUGGGUAUUAAUAAAGUUAUUACAGGAAAAAAAUGACUAAGAGCAAAAGGAGAAGAAAAUAUUUGCAAAUGAAUCCACAAUUCUUGCAGAACUAUUUGAGUUGACUAAAGAUUUUAUGAUCAAUCCUUUAACUUAGAACUGUCAAGGUUGGGAAUGAUGAAAGUAAAGUGCCUUGGCUAUGCUUGAAACCUGAAUUUUAAUGCUUCCCUUAUUAUAUUCAUUGUCUUAAAUGAUUUGGUUUACGAAGUUAAGACAUACUAGUAGUAUAAGUGGAAAGUUGGAUACAUUUUAAUUAAACGAUAUAUGUUAAUGAA